This 726-nucleotide long non-coding RNA is filed under the name Brachypodium distachyon (stiff brome). RNAcentral describes it as "long non-coding RNA (BDIS_LNC005946)". Lineage: Eukaryota; Viridiplantae; Streptophyta; Magnoliopsida; Poales; Poaceae. The record is from RNAcentral.
CAUGUUCUAGUUGUUUCUAUAUAUGUAGACUAUAAAUAUUUUUAUAUCUUAUCUUGAGAAUUUGCAGAGGCAUAGUAAUGUCUAUAUGCAUGAGUGUUUUUUAUAAGAAAUCUUUUUGACCCUUUUUGAAUUUUUGAAAUUAAGAGAGCAUUUGAGCUUGGUAAUCCAUUUGUUUGAUGCACUAAUACGGUAAUAAGAGAUAAUUACAUAGAGCCACAACUUGGGUACACAGUUUUCCAUAAUUAUUGGACAUAUGAACGUAGACCCUAACUAUGAGCCAAUUAUUCCCCGAAAAAAAAACUAUGGGCAAAUUAUUAACAGAGUAGCCUAACCCAUAUUUUUGCCCAGGAGCGGAGCCCAAUGGGCCGGCCAUCAGAUUUCCUAAUAAUACAUCAGGUAAGGCCCAACAUUGUGCAUGAUCGUGAUCAUGGGCUACUUCAGCCCCCCAUGGCACAGUGGUGCAGGUAACUCUAAAUUUAUUUCUAGAUAGACGCCAAUUCAGACCUAUUGGGCCCUGGCUUCAAGUGGCUGUCCCGUUGAAGUGUUGAACCCUUUGAUCCGUAGCAGGCCAAACGAGAUAGGGCCGCCACUUCUUCGAAAAAAACAUAUCUGCCAAAAAAAAAAAGAUAGGGCCGCCGCUAGAUAGUGGCAUGAGUUGGAGUUGAAGGCUAUGCCCACCGACGGCCGGCCAUGGCCACCACGAAUUUGUGGUCGACGACGUGAUCG